Molecule: long non-coding RNA, 1054 nt
Organism: Frankliniella occidentalis (western flower thrips)
Lineage: Eukaryota; Metazoa; Arthropoda; Insecta; Thysanoptera; Thripidae
Exons: 2
Source: RefSeq, a predicted model, not a curated record
GUACCUCUGGUUUCACUUUAAUGUUGUGACGAAGAAAAUAACUCCUCUCAAGGCAAGUGUGGUCAUAGUUGAUGUGUCACACUCUGAGUAGGUUUCGUGUCUCACGCUUGUUUAACUUUUUGAACUCUGUUUAAGUUUUCUUUUGAACUUGUCUGCUUUAGGGCAGUAUUUGUGAUGUAGUCAGCCAUCUCUCUUUUCAUUUUGCUAGUUUGCAUAACUUUUGGUGCUGUUUUUGAUGUUUAAUGGUGAACUUGAGUUUCUAUAUUUUAUUACUGGCGUUUUUCUUAAUUUUCAAUUUAUUUUGAGGUAAUCAUUCAAGGCUCUUAUUCUUUAUCUUGGGCUAUCUCUUGUCGCUUCUAUUUUCCUACCAUCUUUCUUCUAAAGGGAGCUUUCAAUCUUUUUGGUCGGGGGGGGAUGUUACGGUUUCCCGUAACUUUUGUUUAUCUACCUUGACUCGGAGGCGCCUGGAGCAUAGGCCGCCCGAUCUACCCCGUGCCCGGUCUCGCGGUGGAGUGGCUGUUGCCCUCCUAGUGCGUAGGCAACCCUUUAUGCCUUGGUUCCCCGCUUGGCCGGGAGAUGGGUCUGCCUUUGCUCCGGGUCGCUUCCGCUUGUCUCCUUCCCCCUCCACCUCUCUCUCUCGCUCAGCUGGUUCGGUCCGCGGCUCGGUUGUGUCAGAGCUGAACUGAACACCGACCCGGGCGAACUAUCAGCCUCACCUACCAUCUUUCUAUCCCCGGGUCAACCUUUCCUUUCCAUCUUCAAUAUGAUUGGCUUUACGUUGUGUUAUGCAUUGCAACCGUUUUGUCGUACCGUGCCGCCAUGUCGCCGUCUCCGGCCUCAAGUUCACCAGCAUCGUUUUGGUCUUGACCUAGGAGUGUAUUGAUCGACUUUGUAUACGUUUUCGGUUUAUGCUAUUAGCUAUAGUUUACCGGUUAUAUGUUUCGUAUCGUUGGGCCGUGGUGCCGUUUGUGUCUUGUACCUCCUUGAGAUAGGCUAUAGAGUGCCUUUUGUCAGUUUCUGUCUGCCAGUCUGAAAUUAAACUGUGAUACAAUUA